UACGUAGGGUGCAAGCGUUAUCCGGAUUCACUGGGUUUAAAGGGUGUGUAGGCGGGCAGUUAAGUCAGUGGUGAAAUCUCCGGGCUCAACCCGGAAACUGCCAUUGAUACUAUCUGUCUUGAAUAUUGUUGAGGUAGGCGGAAUAUAUCAUGUAGCGGUGAAAUGCAUAGAUAUGAGAUAGAACACCGAUUGCGAAGGCAGCUUACUAAACAAUUAUUGACGCUGAGGCACGAAAGCGUGGGGAGCAAACAGG
Molecule: ribosomal RNA, 253 nt
Filed under: uncultured bacterium
Lineage: Bacteria
Description: partial 16S ribosomal RNA
Rfam family: Bacterial small subunit ribosomal RNA
Source: RNAcentral